UACGGAGGGUGCAAGCAUUAAUCGGAUUUAUUGGGCGUAAAGGGCGCGUAGGCGGGAACGUAAGUCAGACGUGAAAUCCCGGGGCUCAACCCCGGAACAGCAUUUGAAACUGCGUUUCUAGAGGGUAGGCGGAGAAAACGGAAUUCCACAAGUAGCGGUGAAAUGCGUAGAUAUGUGGAAGAACACCGGUGGCGAAGGCGGUUUUCUAGCUUACUCCUGACGCUGAAGCGCGAAAGCAAGGGGAUCAAACAGG
RNAcentral lists this ribosomal RNA (253 nucleotides) under uncultured bacterium. RNAcentral's name for it is "partial 16S ribosomal RNA". It matches the Rfam family "Bacterial small subunit ribosomal RNA", at positions 524 to 776 of the family's 1533-position model. The record is from RNAcentral.